Molecule: ribosomal RNA, 329 nt
Filed under: uncultured Thauera sp.
Lineage: Bacteria; Pseudomonadati; Pseudomonadota; Betaproteobacteria; Rhodocyclales; Zoogloeaceae
Description: bacterial SSU rRNA
Rfam family: Bacterial small subunit ribosomal RNA
Source: RNAcentral
UCGUCAGCUCGUGUCGUGAGAUGUUGGGUUAAGUCCCGCAACGAGCGCAACCCUUGUCAUUAGUUGCCAUCAUUUAGUUGGGCACUCUAAUGAGACUGCCGGUGACAAACCGGAGGAAGGUGGGGAUGACGUCAAGUCCUCAUGGCCCUUAUGGGUAGGGCUUCACACGUCAUACAAUGGUCGGUACAGAGGGUUGCCAAGCCGCGAGGUGGAGCCAAUCCCUUAAAGCCGAUCGUAGUCCGGAUCGUAGUCUGCAACUCGACUACGUGAAGUCGGAAUCGCUAGUAAUCGCAGAUCAGCAUGCUGCGGUGAAUACGUUCCCGGGUCUU